UUUAGAAGAAAUAUUUCUACUUAUCCAGGGAGCUGUGAUUUUAUUUCUCUCAACAGCAGCUUAGGGUUUUGUAAAUACAAGUUAAUGAUUCAUAUACAAAUUUAGAUCCAGGUUUGAGUUGAGUUGAUAUUAACUAAAUGAACUUGAUGCUGGGGAAAAAAAUCAUAGUUUGUCCAGCUGCUAGGAAAUCAAACAACAUCGGAAGCUGAAAGCCUGUAAUUACUUCAUUUGGAAAGCAAACCUGAGGAGAAGGAAGAAGCUGAGUUCUGUGUGAUCCUGUGGAUGGAUGUUUAGCACGCUUUGUUCCUUGGUGAGAGGAUAAAUGUUGGAUUCAAAAAGAAAAAGAGAACUGGCACCAAGGAGCCCUUAUAGGGUAAUGGAACUAAGAAGCCUCACACUGCACGUGCAUGCUGGAGGUAUUUGAGCAAUGGAUUAGGACUGUGUCAGAAUCAGUGAGACACUAAUGAAAAUUAUUCAAUAUGAGUGACUUGAGAAGGUGAAGGCUGAUCCAACUCUCUUUACAGGAAGUAGAAAAUUCUCGUGUACUGGAAGAUAAUUCCUCCACAUCUCCUGCUCCACGUCUAUCUUCAUAAUUGACUCUUCCAAAGAAGGCUCAGAGUCCUCAGGGAUUUAUUGCAAACCCAUGAGGAAUCACCAUAAUUAACUUCAUAUUUAUAGAAGACACUAAGAGCCACAGAGGUUAAGUAAUUCUUUGUCAGAUGACCAAUGUCCCUUUUGGGGCGUCUUUGGCUUCAAGUGCCUGCUGUACCCAGUUCUUCCCUGGUUUCAAUGGAAGCCCUAUGGGACAAGGGAAGAUGCAUAGAAUAGAGGAGGUGAGCCUGAUACAUGUGACUAUUGCCCUCUCUCCAUAUCAUUUGCAACUCAUGUUUGCCAUGUUCCAUGAGCACAGAAUUCCAGGGGAACCAGGAUGCACAGGAGCUCAGAGAGACUGAAAGCAAGUACAGAGGGUCCUGUAUUCACAUUGUGCAAGAAAUCUGCCAAUUAAUGAAGCCAGCCCUAUUGAAAGGGAAUCAUUACCAGAUACCAAAGCACAGGCAACACUAUCACCAAUCCUGUUGCACUUUUCCCAAAUCAGAUGCUCAGGUAUAAUACAAGUGACAGAAAUAGUCAAACUGGAUCUUCAAACCACAAACAUCAAGCUAUCUGAAAACUUUUGAACUUCAUCUGGUCCAAGCACCUGAAAACACUUCAAUUAUAGGCUCCAACUGAGCUUUGGAUUUCUAGGUCAAUAGAAUUUCUGUUCAAAAAGAUUAAACAAAUUAAUAUUAGUAUGAAUUUUAUGCAAUUCUAAAAUAAGAAAAAAUUAAAACACCCAUACAUCCUUUAUUCUCAAUACAACUUUUAUAGAAAAGGAAAUAAAUCUAAUAGUUCUGAAACUUUGAGAGCUUUCUGUGUUUCCCAAGCAAAUGUGUUUGGGCUGCUACUCUUAUAUCCUUAUGUUGUCUCUUGGAUUCAUUUUUUACUAAUUCCUAUAAGACUCUGAAUAUAGUAAUGUGGUAGAUACCUUAAGCCAUCUCCUUGCCUUGAAGCUAAAAGAUUGUUCAGAGUUACUCUAAUAUUUCUUUUUAAAAAAAAUUUUAAUUGAUUUUUUAAAAAAUAAAUGAUAGCAGAAUACAAUACAAUUCCUAUUACACAUAUACAGCACAAUAUUUCAUAUCUCUGGUUGUAAUAUAAAGUAUGUUCAUACCAAUUCGAGGCUUCAUACAUGUACUUUGAAUAAUGAUGUCUAAGAAGUAUAGAUAGUAUUAAUACCAAACAAUAUAGUCCUUCACUGCUCUUUCUAGAAAUGUCUUGUGUUACUAGAAAUUAAGUGGGCCCAGUUGGUGCCAUAACACUUAGGCAUAAUUCUCCCACAGGGCAGUGGGGGGGGGCGUGUAAUUUUAAGGAAAAUGCCCCAGCCAUUGAUUGUCUGUACCUGUACCUUCUUUUCCAGGGAAAGAUAUUCAUUCUGUGACUAAUAAUUACCAUAAGGCUUGAUAUAUAAAUUACCAAAGGAGAGAUGGCCCAUUGCUUCUAAUUCACAAUAAGGGGGAAAAUCUCUUAAAAUUGGGUUUUGUGGUAGGAAAUACAACAGAGAGGGACAACCAAUAACUGCAUAUGAAAGUGGAUACACUGGUGUUUCCCAUUUUGCAUCUUGUCCAUCACUGGGUCUUUGCCUUCCCUGAUUACAUGUUCUACACCACAGUGAUUUGAGGCAACGCAGUCCUCCUCACUUUAAUCAUGAGUUUAAUGAGAGAAAAAAAAAACAGUUCCCCAAAAUAUAAUCUAUGUUGCAGACUCCACCCCAGCUAAUAUACACAGUUGUAGGUAUCUAAUUGUGAUCUGUUUGCAAUGGUCAGGAACAGGAGUUGUGUUCUGUGAAAGUGGCAACCAACUCCAGAUCAGAUGAGCUCCCCUGACAGCCCCAGACGGAACAUCAGAGCAAGCCGAGGUGACUUCUGUGUGACAGUGACCAGGGAAGCAUCUGCCAGAGGGGUCAGGUCCCUGCAUUGUGUGCUCAUUUUCUAUUCAAUUGUUAAACCAGUUGUUUCAUUUUCUUUCUUAGAAAAUGUGACCCAUUAUCCAAACUAUAUUCAGAUUGAACAGCACAGAAUUGAGCAUCAAAAAUAUCUGGGUUUGGGACUUUUUUCUUUGUGAUUCCUCACAAAGGAAGGAAAGGCACUGCUAACCAUUUCUUUUACUUGGCAGCCACUCACCUCAUAGUUUUUUCUGAAUGGUCAUCUCAUAGGACACAGUGAUAGAUGCAUUUUUGACAUUAUCUUUCAUUCUCAAAAUAAUACUCCAUGAGAUGAAGAUAUGAGUGUAACUUAUGAACAAGACAGUGUAGUGUACAAUAUAGUCCUUCACUGAUCUUUCUAGAAAUGUCUUUCAUUGAUGUGUACUAUUCCAUGCUGUGAAUCUAUCACAGUUUAUUCAUUUCCCUGCUUAAGGACAUUUGUAUUGUUUUAAGUUGGCACUAUCACAAAUAAUGCUGUCAUGAACAUUUUUAACUAUGCCUUUAGGUACACAUAUGUCCAUUUUUCCUUGGAAUAUACAACUGGGGAAAGAACUGCUGUAUCAGAAUCCCUGCUGAUACUCAAUUUUAGAAGACAAUGCCAAUAUUUUCCAAAUAGAAAGUACUAACAUGUGCUUCACCAAAUUUAUAUUUCCUCUGGCAAUGUCUUUUAUACAUUUCUUAUACUGCUUUUAUUAGCUAGAGUUGCACAUAAGAACUUCACAAAACAUGCAAAACCUGGGGAGGAAUGUUCCAGGUUGAAACAGCAAAGAGAAAGGCCCGAGGCAUUAUAUGAAUGCCUUGCAUUGACUAUUUACUAAGCUGGUAUUGAGUUUGUGUUUACAUAUACACAUACACAUCUAGACAGAUCAAUAGCCAGAAAUAAUAUUAGUUAAAUAUUUUUCCUUGCCAAUUUGAUGCCAGGUACUAUAUUAGGCAAAACCCCUAUAAAGUAGAUAUGAUUCAAAUUUAUUUAGAUUAAGAAACUUACAUUUAAUGGGACUGACGAUAAUUAAUAGCAAAGUAGACACUGAACCCAAGAUUAUCUGGCUCCAAAGACUGUGCUGUUCAUCAAUAUGCCACAUCAAUAUUGACUGUUUUUAAAGUCAAGGGAGGAGUUGAUGAAUUCACAAAUGGUAUUUGAAACAGAUUUUAUUAACUCCUAGAUGAUAUUAAGCAGAAGUAAACAUGUUCCAGAGUUCUUUCAUUUUUCCAAUAUCUGUGUAGAACAUCCUAGGCAGGAUGGUUGAUGUGUCAUUAAAAAGAGGGAACAUUCCAGGGAGUGGAGUACAUGACAAAUUGUUUGUGAAUACUCUUCAUUUACUGGUAGCUACUGAAGUUGCAUUCCAAUGGAGCUAAAAACAGUCUUAGGUAAUGAUGGCAACUCAUAUUCAUAAAAUACUUUACAUCACUAAAUCAUUACAGGUCAGAAUGCUGCUAGGUCAUAAAGAGCAUGUGUUUCUUCAUAAUAGUGUCACCUUCCUCUCCUCCUCCUUCGCCUCCUCCUCCUUUGCCUCCUCCUCCUCCUCCUCCUUCCCCUCCUCCUCCUUCUCCUCCUGUUCUUUUUCUCCUUCUUCCUCCUUCUCCUUGAAAGAUGCCACUUUUUCAGAGGGUGUGUAGAAAGGGAAUAUAAAUUUUCUUCGUGCUUGUAAUUUGUUUUAUUUCAUUCUUAAAGAUAAAUGCUAAAUUUUAAUCAGCAUAUCAAAAUUCUAUCCUGAUUUAGCCUGUAAGACUCUUCUUACACUUUAAGGCUGAUGUGUUUUGAUUGGUUGGCUAGUGUGGAAAGGUAUUUGACCUUGUGGCUGAUGUUAUGUUGAUGGUUGUUUUUCAAUAUUUGAUUGGCAUAAAGUGUUACUGGUCCAGGCCCCCUGAUAAAUGGUUCAGGGAUGCUUUCUUGAAAUAAAGAGAAUUCCUUGCUUGGA
Marmota monax (woodchuck) is the source of this 4437-nucleotide long non-coding RNA. RefSeq lists it as uncharacterized. NCBI's taxonomy places the organism in Eukaryota, Metazoa, Chordata, Mammalia, Rodentia, Sciuridae. The transcript is spliced from 8 exons. The record is from RefSeq and is a predicted model, not a curated record.